CAAGCACUCUCUUUCAAGCAAGAUGGCCGUGCCAGUUUCUGCCAUCGGAUUUGAAGGAUACGAAAAGCGACUUGAGAUUACCUUUUUUGAGUUAGGAAUGUCUGAUGGCCCGGGAUGUGGCCUACGGUCUCUCUCCAAAGACCAAUUGGAUGAAAUUCUGACACCGGCUGCAUGCACCAUAGUGUCUUCAUUGGCAAAUGAUGAAGUCGACUCUUAUGUCCUUUCGGAGUCUAGCCUCUUUGUCUACUCAUACAAGAUCAUCAUCAAAACUUGUGGCACUACAAAACUGCUGCUGUCAAUCCCACCCAUUCUUAAGUUAGCUGAUGCACUUAACCUGAAAGUGAAGUCAGUGAGGUACACUCGUGGUAGUUUCAUCUUCCCUGGGGCUCAGCCAUAUCCACAUCGUCACUUCUCUGAAGAAGUAGCCGUGCUUGACAGCUAUUUCGGUAAGCUUGGUGCAGGCAGCAGUGCAUAUGUGAUGGGUAAUGCUGAUAAACAACAGAACUGGCAUGUCUAUUCUGCUUCAGUUGAAUCUGCCAAUGCCAAUAACCCGAAUCCAGUUUAUACACUGGAGAUGUGCAUGACUAAUCUGGACAAGAAGAAGGCAUCCGUAUUUUUCAAGACUCACUCAAGCACUGCUGCUGAGAUGACUGAAGUUUCAGGCAUUCGGAAGAUCCUUCCAGAAUCAAACAUAUGCGACUUUGACUUUGAUCCCUGCGGUUACUCAAUGAAUGCUAUCGAGGGGCCAGCAAUCUCU
Molecule: long non-coding RNA, 757 nt
Filed under: Nicotiana tabacum (common tobacco)
Lineage: Eukaryota; Viridiplantae; Streptophyta; Magnoliopsida; Solanales; Solanaceae
Description: long non-coding RNA (NTAB_LNC012295)
Source: RNAcentral